UACGUAGGGGGCGAGCGUUGUCCGGAGUUACUGGGCGUAAAGGGCAUGCAGGCGGUCGGAUGCGUUUCGGGUGACAGCGGGUGGCUUAACUACCCGAGUGGUCGAAAGACGGUUUGACUUGAGGACGCGAGAGGGACACGGAAUUCCGGGUGGAGUGGUGAAAUGCGUAGAGAUCCGGAGGAACACCGAAGGCGAAGGCAGUGUCCUGGCGCGUAACUGACGCUGAGGUGCGAAAGCCAGGGGAGCGAACGGG
RNAcentral lists this ribosomal RNA (253 nucleotides) under uncultured bacterium. RNAcentral describes it as "partial 16S ribosomal RNA". It matches the Rfam family "Bacterial small subunit ribosomal RNA", at positions 524 to 776 of the family's 1533-position model. The record is from RNAcentral.